GGUGAGUUGUGGAUUAUUUUGGCUGCGGCGGCGGAGAAUGAUAAGAAUUAAGACAAUCACGAGACAUAAGACCACCAAACAAACUGCAACGAUCAACAUCACUCUACUCAGGAGAGAGGGCGACUUGUUAUCUAUAUCACCAGAUUGGGUGGUGUUGAUGGUAGAGUUGAGAGUGUUAGGCGGAGUAGUAGUAUUUGCUUCUGGAAUUGGGGAGUUGCAAACUGAUUCCAAAGGCUUCCCACACAUGCCUUUGUUGCCUGUGUAUAUGUACGCAAUGAUUAAAUGAUCGAUAUGUAAUGCAAUGCAAUUAAAAUAUUUAAUUAGGUACCUGCGAAUGCUGUUGGAUCCAUUAAUGAAAGAGAAGGAGGGAUUGGACCGUCGAGUUGGUUGUUGGAUACAUUGAGGAGUUUGAGAACACCACCGCGGAAAUCAGGUAUAGAGCCAGUGAAUUUGUUGUUUUGGAGGGUCAAGUCGAAGAGCCUGGGGCAGGAGGUAGCGAGGGAGGUGGGAAUGUUACCUGUGAAUUGGUUGUUGGCCAAAUAAAGUUUCUUGAGAUAAAUCAUACCCUUGAAGGCAUCAUCG
RNAcentral lists this long non-coding RNA (582 nucleotides) under Solanum lycopersicum (tomato). RNAcentral describes it as "long non-coding RNA (SLYC_LNC001411)". The record is from RNAcentral. Lineage: Eukaryota; Viridiplantae; Streptophyta; Magnoliopsida; Solanales; Solanaceae.